This 1489-nucleotide ribosomal RNA is filed under the name Lactiplantibacillus plantarum. RNAcentral describes it as "bacterial SSU rRNA". It matches the Rfam family "Bacterial small subunit ribosomal RNA". The record is from RNAcentral. Lineage: Bacteria; Bacillati; Bacillota; Bacilli; Lactobacillales; Lactobacillaceae.
GACGAACGCUGGCGGCGUGCCUAAUACAUGCAAGUCGAACGAACUCUGGUAUUGAUUGGUGCUUGCAUCAUGAUUUACAUUUGAGUGAGUGGCGAACUGGUGAGUAACACGUGGGAAACCUGCCCAGAAGCGGGGGAUAACACCUGGAAACAGAUGCUAAUACCGCAUAACAACUUGGACCGCAUGGUCCGAGCUUGAAAGAUGGCUUCGGCUAUCACUUUUGGAUGGUCCCGCGGCGUAUUAGCUAGAUGGUGGGGUAACGGCUCACCAUGGCAAUGAUACGUAGCCGACCUGAGAGGGUAAUCGGCCACAUUGGGACUGAGACACGGCCCAAACUCCUACGGGAGGCAGCAGUAGGGAAUCUUCCACAAUGGACGAAAGUCUGAUGGAGCAACGCCGCGUGAGUGAAGAAGGGUUUCGGCUCGUAAAACUCUGUUGUUAAAGAAGAACAUAUCUGAGAGUAACUGUUCAGGUAUUGACGGUAUUUAACCAGAAAGCCACGGCUAACUACGUGCCAGCAGCCGCGGUAAUACGUAGGUGGCAAGCGUUGUCCGGAUUUAUUGGGCGUAAAGCGAGCGCAGGCGGUUUUUUAAGUCUGAUGUGAAAGCCUUCGGCUCAACCGAAGAAGUGCAUCGGAAACUGGGAAACUUGAGUGCAGAAGAGGACAGUGGAACUCCAUGUGUAGCGGUGAAAUGCGUAGAUAUAUGGAAGAACACCAGUGGCGAAGGCGGCUGUCUGGUCUGUAACUGACGCUGAGGCUCGAAAGUAUGGGUAGCAAACAGGAUUAGAUACCCUGGUUGUCCAUACCGUAAACGAUGAAUGCUAAGUGUUGGAGGGUUUCCGCCCUUCAGUGCUGCAGCUAACGCAUUAAGCAUUCCGCCUGGGGAGUACGGCCGCAAGGCUGAAACUCAAAGGAAUUGACGGGGGCCCGCACAAGCGGUGGAGCAUGUGGUUUAAUUCGAAGCUACGCGAAGAACCUUACCAGGUCUUGACAUACUAUGCAAAUCUAAGAGAUUAGACGUUCCCUUCGGGGACAUGGAUACAGGUGGUGCAUGGUUGUCGUCAGCUCGUGUCGUGAGAUGUUGGGUUAAGUCCCGCAACGAGCGCAACCCUUAUUAUCAGUGGCCAGCAUUAAGUUGGGCACUCUGGUGAGACUGCCGGUGACAAACCGGAGGAAGGUGGGGAUGACGUCAAAUCAUCAUGCCCCUUAUGACCUGGGCUACACACGUGCUACAAUGGAUGGUACAACGAGUUGCGAACUCGCGAGAGUAAGCUAAUCUCUUAAAGCCAUUCUCAGUUCGGAUUGUAGGCUGCAACUCGCCUACAUGAAGUCGGAAUCGCUAGUAAUCGCGGAUCAGCAUGCCGCGGUGAAUACGUUCCCGGGCCUUGUACACACCGCCCGUCACACCAUGAGAGUUUGUAACACCCAAAGUCGGUGGGGUAACCUUUUAGGAACCAGCCGCCUAAGGUGGGACAGAUGAUUAGGGUG